CAGUAGCCGCGGUAAUACGUAGGGUGCAAGCGUCAAUCGGAAUUACUGGGCGUAAAGCGUGCGCAGGCGGUUCGUUAAGACAGAUGUGAAAUCCCCGGGCUUAACCUGGGAACUGCAUUUGUGACUGGCGGGCUAGAGUAUGGCAGAGGGGGGUAGAAUUCCACGUGUAGCAGUGAAAUGCGUAGAGAUGUGGAGGAAUACCGAUGGCGAAGGCAGCCCCCUGGGCCAAUACUGACGCUCAUGCACGAAAGCGUGGGGAGCAAACGGGAUUAGAUACCCCAGUAGUCCCUGUCUCUUAUAC
RNAcentral lists this ribosomal RNA (301 nucleotides) under uncultured bacterium. RNAcentral describes it as "partial 16S ribosomal RNA". It matches the Rfam family "Bacterial small subunit ribosomal RNA", at positions 509 to 807 of the family's 1533-position model. The record is from RNAcentral.